Molecule: ribosomal RNA, 30 nt
Filed under: Marasmius galbinus
Lineage: Eukaryota; Fungi; Basidiomycota; Agaricomycetes; Agaricales; Marasmiaceae
Description: partial 28S ribosomal RNA
Source: RNAcentral
UUUUGGCCUCAAAUCAGGUAGACCGCCAUU